RNAcentral lists this small RNA (4455 nucleotides) under Caenorhabditis elegans. Its description in RNAcentral is "Unclassified non-coding RNA ZK892.11". Lineage: Eukaryota; Metazoa; Nematoda; Chromadorea; Rhabditida; Rhabditidae. The record is from RNAcentral.
GAACAUCCCAUACCGUUCCAAGCUCACCGAGCGCAUCGAGCCCGGACAAACUCUGAUCAUUCGUGGAAAGACUAUCGAUGAGUCCAAGAGGUAAUCGAGAUUUUGACAAUAUUCAUUCGAAUUCUAACCCGAAGAAACUUGCAGGUUCAACAUUAAUCUCCACAAGGAUUCUCCAGAUUUCUCCGGCAACGACGUGCCUCUUCAUCUUUCCAUCCGUUUCGACGAGGGAAAGGUAGGUCAUUUGAUGUUCGAGCUUCUGACUAUUAUAGGAACUAAAACCAUUAAAACACAUACAUAAACACACAGAAAAAACAAAGUUUCCGCCCGAGAUAUACAUAAGGCUCGAUCAAGCGUAUGAGCUAUAAAAAAUUGGCGCUUCUUUCCAUCUUCUCCAUCCACAUAAUGGGUUUAACCGGGGUGACAUGAAUAGAGGGAGCCCAAUGGGACCCAGAAGCUCUAGCUUUCAGACAUCAGGAAAUUGGCUUGCUUUUGGCUUCACAUUUUCCCGUUUCUUCUUACUUCCUUCAAGCUUCUUUUUCUUGAUUUCUUUUUGAUGAUGUUUACCCUUUCGGCAUGUGUGAGGGAUGAUGGUGGUGAGCCGAGAAAAUGAUUGAUCCGUGCUCAUUGCCUUGCCCUUCACUCACUCAAAUAGACAGUGAAUCUGUGUCAGGUGAUCCCACACACACACACACACACUCACUCCGUUUCCAGAUCAUAUUCGAAAAGUGGCAGCGAGAAAAAACGCUGAGAUCAAGUGUAGGUUUUGAAUGUUCACAACUCCCCCUUUCUGAUACACCCUAGAAUAUAUGUGUAUUUUUUGUGCAUGCAUCAUUUCCACCGAACUUGUUUUUUUAAAUGUAUAGAUCAAUUUGGUUAUAAAAUUUUAAAAAUCGAUUAUCUGGAGUGGCUUCGGUCGACACAAAAUUAAGAGGUUAAGAAAAUGGUAGAAUCUUAUUAUACUCAUAAUAAAAUUGAUAGACCAAAAAACUCGUGAUAUCCGCAAUAAAACGAAUACUACCUGGGAAAAAACAAGAAGACCACGCGCGAUUGAAAUAGUUCAAAAACUGAAAACUUUUGUCGAAAGUCUAUAAGUUCAUAUUUUCGGAUCAAGUCGAUAAGUUUUAAAUUAAAAUGAAGAUUUAUUCAUUUUCGCUAAAAUUGAUGAAUUUCAGGAUAAUUUAAGACAUUUCUAUUUUAAUUUCUGAAAUUAAAAAUUAAGCUCAAUUUACUUUAGAAUGCGAUUUCGUAAAGCCUACCACAAACAACAAGAAACAGGUGGCUGUAAAAAAAUGAACACCGACAAGAAAGUGACUUUCCAUUCUAGACUCUAAACAAUUUUUUGCAGAUCGUCUACAACGCAUACACCAAGGGAACAUGGGGAAAAGAAGAACGCGCCAAGAAUCCUAUCAAGAAGGGCGACGAUUUCGAUAUCCGCAUUCGGGCUCACGAUUCCAAGUUCCAAGUGUCCAUUAACCACGUGAGUACUCUUGAUCAUUUUAUUCUGGACGUGUUUGGUCAAGUGCAUGCGGGUUAAAAAGUUAAAAACUUUUUGACAGGGCAUCAACAUCAAACGUCAGAAAAGUGUUAGUCUUCCCCUAGAGGGACUGAAGCCUCCGUGAACUCAUUCCUCGAGAGCUCACUCAAAAUGAGCAAAAGCAUUGAAGGAGGUUGGGACGAAAAACGAUUUUUCUCUUUUCUAUUGAAACUGGGGGAGAUUUUUUUUUUUCAAAAAUCACUCUUUUCCCGGCUAAAACAAUAGGAAUAUAAUUGUGGAGAGUUCGAAACAAAGACUAAACGUCUGGAACUCUUCCUCCCCAAUUUUUCUUCUUUUCUAUUUUGAAGAAAAACGGAAAUGAUGAGAUGAGGUUUGACAGGUGAGGGAACGAGUUUCUUGCGCCAUCACUUGAAAUGAGCCUCGUCCAUCAUCUUAUUUCAAAUAUCAGGGAUUGGGAUUUCCAGAAGAACUUUGAGCUAUGGCUCACGGCUCACGGCUCAAAUGUUCCAACGAAAAGAGGGAGCUUGUAGCUUUUAUGAUCGCUUUGUGGAAUCUUGUUUUUGAAAAAAAACCACUUGAUUUCGUGGAUUCCAAUCAAUUAUAGAAAUUCCAGAAAUUUGUUUCAAUUUUACAAAUGAAUCCGGACCAGUCAUUCGUCCGGAUUUCUAGAACCGGGUUUUUGGGCGUUAUUUUACCGCAAAAUUCAAUUAAAACAUUAAAAAAAUCUCACCUUCAUUCUCUCAGGUUGACAAGUAAGCUUUUUUGGGAAGGCUUCAGUUUAACAAGUUUUGAACCUUAAAAAUAGAAUAGAUCUCUAGAGUUCACAGUUAAAAAAAAAAAUCAUGAUCAACUUUAUAAGUUUUUAAUUUUGAAAUUUCUGCACUAAAUUUUGUAAACUGCAGUAUAUUUACCAACUGAAUUAGUUGAAUACAUUGUAUACAUCCUAGGUAUUUAUUUUUAACUGAAUAAAUCAAAACAUACAACUUGUAGUAGACAUUUGCCCUAUUCUAACUUGGUGCACAACACAAAAACUUUCACAUUUAGCCUCUAUUUUUAUCCCUUGACACAUCUGGCAGCCAACAUUUCUGACCAGCAGGAAGUGAUUCUCGAUCUCCGAUCCCUUCCGCCUCACAAAUUCUCACAGAGUCCAGAGUGGCUAACACAAAAACGAGAAAUUUUGAGUCAUUGUAAAGUCAAGUUGGAGUACCUCUCUAAAAUAUUCAUAACUUCCAUUUUGGACCUUUUCCACUUUUAGCUAGAAAGGCUUAGAACACUGAAUUGAAUAAGCUUCAGACAAAAGAAGAAGGAUUCAAAAAACUCAUCAGUGUUUUAUAAGAAUGUGCUCUUAAAUUUGUAUGUGGUGCUCCAAAGAGAAAUCCGAACAUUUAUGAGGCCUUAGGGAACGGCACGGUUCAGGAGCACAAAGAGUCGAAUGAAUGUAGAGAUAUGGGGGCAAAAAAUGGAGUCACACGCACACAUUCAUGUUUUUUGGUUCCUUUUUCCAAAACUGUGAUGCUCUCUUCAUUCGUCUUCUUUUUCUUCCUUAUUUGGCGGGAACCGCUGAAAAAAUAAGGAGAAAACUGGGGAAGAAAAGAAGCUGAUUUGUGUCCUAAAACAACGAAAGACGUGAAAAGUGGAAGAAAUAAAAAACAAAAACAAGGAAGAAUCAGAGGAAAUUGAGUGGAAAAGUACAAGAAUUUUGGAGAUGUUGUGGUUUGAACUGACACAAUUUGAUCAAUGAGAAUAGGAAUGCCUGAAUAGUUGAACUUUUCAAAAAAAAAGUAUUGUUCUAAGAGUUAAGAGUUUAAGAAUCUUCGGGUCACGGAUCUUUGUCUAAAGCUAAAACGCUGUAAAUUUUCUUUGCAACAAACUAUUAGGGCCCCCGCAAACUUAAAUGACGUAGAUUCAUAAGCCAACAUAUGGUUGGAGCUCUUGAAAAAAAGUUUUGUUUACGAUUUUUAAUCUAUGCUUCUCUUAGAGUAUUCUAGCUUGUAAUUGUCGCCCUAAAUUUUAUAUUUUUGUCGUUCUUUUUUUGCCUCUUCUGCAUUCCUGCAACAAAAAAACAAACUGAAAAAUUGUUUUUCGCCCCUUACCAAAUCUGUUUUGAGAAAUGGGGUCUCGAGGACUUUGGGUCAAUUUAUAAACACACCCCAGAAUUAUUCAGUGGGAACUUUGUUAAGACACGGAAGUAAUAUGAUUUUUUUUUCAGAAAGAGGUGAAGAACUUCGAGCACCGUAUCCCACUCAACUCGGUGUCCCAUUUGUCCAUCGAUGGGGAUGUUGUCCUGAACCACGUUCAAUGGGGAGGAAAGUACUACGUGAGUUUCCAUUCAAAAGUACUUUAUUUAAAAUAAAGUACUUUUGUAUUAUAAACCACCAUUUAAUAAAAUUUUGAUUUCGUUAGAUUAUCCAUUUAAAUAAAACCUUAUCAUCCUUGUUAGGCUUAGAAAUGAAAAAAAUUGAAAUUCUGAAAAAAAUUCAAAAAAAUUUCAAAAAUUUACUUCUCAGUUUUUCCAGAAAGCCUUUAAGCUCAAAAAAAAAACAUAAUAUGAUGUAAGCAAAAAUAGAUGAAUUAUACUCAGCAACUCAUACUAAACUAAUUUCAGCCAGUCCCAUAUGAAUCCGGAAUCGCCGCCGAUGGAUUGGUCCCAGGAAAGACUCUCGUUGUCUAUGGAACUCCAGAGAAGAAGGCCAAGAAGUGAGUGAUAAAUUGAUUGAAACUUUCAUAUCGUUUUGUGUUCAGAUUCAAUAUUAACCUUCUCAAGAAGAACGGAGAUAUUGCUCUUCAUUUCAAUCCACGUUUCGAUGAGAAGGUAGGAUUUUUUAUAAUGUUCAGACGCAAAUACUAAACUUCUUUAUUUGCAACUUCUCAAAACUAAAAGAUUAAAAAUAAAAACCCAAAAAUGCAUUCUCUUCCAUUUUCAGGCAAAUGGAUUUAUGUGCGCUAAGCCGACCCCUGGA